AGUGAACGCUGGCGGUAGGCCUAACACAUGCAAGUCGAACGGCAGCACAGUAAUAGCUUGCUCUUACGGGUGGCGAGUGGCGGACGGGUGAUGAAUACAUCGGAAUCUACUUUGUCGUGGGGGAGAACGUAGGGAAACUUACGCUAAUACCGCAUACGACGUACGGGUGAAAGCAUGGGAUCUUCGGACCUUGCGCGAUUGAAUGAGCCGAGGUCGGAUUAGCUAGUUGGCGGGGUAAAGGCCCACCAAGGCGACGAUCCGUAGCUGGUCUGAGAGGAUGAUCAGCCACACUGGAACUGAGACACGGUCCAGACUCCUACGGGAGGCAGCAGUGGGGAAUAUUGGACAAUGGGCGAAAGCCUGAUCCAGCCAUGCCGCGUGGGUGAAGAAGGUCUUCGGAUUGUAAAGCACUUUUGUUUGGAAAGAAAAGCAGCAGGUUAAUACCCCGCUGUUCUGACGGUACCCAAAGAAUAAGCACCGGCUAACUUCGUG
RNAcentral lists this ribosomal RNA (492 nucleotides) under uncultured bacterium. RNAcentral describes it as "partial 16S ribosomal RNA". It matches the Rfam family "Bacterial small subunit ribosomal RNA", at positions 29 to 507 of the family's 1533-position model. The record is from RNAcentral.